Molecule: ribosomal RNA, 433 nt
Filed under: uncultured bacterium
Lineage: Bacteria
Description: partial 16S ribosomal RNA
Rfam family: Bacterial small subunit ribosomal RNA
Source: RNAcentral
AACGAACGCUGGCGGCAUGCCUAACACAUGCAAGUCGAACGAAACCUUCGGGUCUAGUGGCGCACGGGUGCGUAACGCGUGGGAACCUGCCCUUAGGUUCGGAAUAACUCACCGAAAGGGGUGCUAAUACCGGAUAAUGUCUUCGGACCAAAGAUUUAUCGCCUUUGGAUGGGCCCGCGUUGGAUUAGCUAGUUGGUAGGGUAAAAGCCUACCAAGGCGACGAUCCAUAGCUGGUCGGAGAGGAUGAUCAGCCACACUGGGACUGCGACACGGCCCAGACUCCGACGGGAGGCAGCAGUGGGGAAUAUUGGACAAGGGGCGAAAGCCUGAUCCAGCAAUGCCGCGUGAGUGAUGAAGGCCUUAGGGUUGUAAAGCUCUUUUAGCCGGGAUGAUAAUGACAGUACCGGGAGAAUAAGCUCCGGCUAACUCCGUG